This 773-nucleotide ribosomal RNA is filed under the name uncultured beta proteobacterium. RNAcentral's name for it is "bacterial SSU rRNA". It matches the Rfam family "Bacterial small subunit ribosomal RNA", at positions 513 to 1287 of the family's 1533-position model. Lineage: Bacteria; Pseudomonadati; Pseudomonadota; Betaproteobacteria. The record is from RNAcentral.
AGCCGCGGUAAUACGUAGGGUGCGAGCGUUAAUCGGAAUUACUGGGCGUAAAGCGUGCGCAGGCGGCGCGUUAAGACAGGUGUGAAAGCCCCGAGCUUAACUUGGGAAUUGCGCUUGUGACUGGCGUGCUGGAGUGUGGCAGAGGGAGGUGGAAUUCCACGUGUAGCAGUGAAAUGCGUAGAGAUGUGGAGGAACACCGAUGGCGAAGGCAGCCUCCUGGGCCAGCACUGACGCUCAUGCACGAAAGCGUGGGGAGCAAACAGGAAUAGAUACCCUGGUAGUCCACGCCCUAAACGAUGUCAACUGGUUGUUGGUGGGGUUAAACCCAUUAGUAACGAAGCUAACGCGUGAAGUUGACCGCCUGGGGAGUACGGCCGCAAGGUUAAAACUCAAAGGAAUUGACGGGGACCCGCACAAGCGGUGGAUGAUGUGGAUUAAUUCGAUGCAACGCGAAGAACCUUACCUACCCUUGACAUGCCAGGGAGCCGGAUGAGAGUUCGGUGUGCAAAAAAAGGAACCUGGACACAGGUGCUGCAUGGCUGUCGUCAGCUCGUGUCGUGAGAUGUUGGGUUAAGUCCCGCAACGAGCGCAACCCUUGUCACUAGUUGCUACGGUAACGGGCACUCUAGUGAGACUGCCGGUGACAAACCGGAGGAAGGUGGGGAUGACGUCAAGUCCUCAUGGCCCUUAUGGGUAGGGCUUCACACGUCAUACAAUGGCGCAUACAGAGGGCUGCCUUCAAGGGAGGGGGAGCCAAUCCCAGAAAGUGCGUC